This 224-nucleotide unclassified non-coding RNA is filed under the name Hevea brasiliensis (rubber tree). The record is from RNAcentral. Lineage: Eukaryota; Viridiplantae; Streptophyta; Magnoliopsida; Malpighiales; Euphorbiaceae.
GCCUCGCCGACUCCCGGUUCGACUCCAUCCGCCGUCGUUUUCUUUCGUCUAUCACCUCAACUUUCCGGUCCGGGGCACACGGACCGGCAUCCAUCGGUUCCGGUUCGUCCCGGUUUUCGGAACUCGAACUGGAAAUCACCGGGUUUGGGGAGUGGAAAACGUCAAAUAAUCCCGUUGGUUCCGUCAUCUGGGACACAACCGGCAAAAACUCGGGGUCGUGAUCG